RNAcentral lists this ribosomal RNA (230 nucleotides) under uncultured bacterium. RNAcentral's name for it is "partial 16S ribosomal RNA". It matches the Rfam family "Bacterial small subunit ribosomal RNA", at positions 335 to 558 of the family's 1533-position model. The record is from RNAcentral.
UGCCUACGGGGCGCAGCAGUGGGGAAUCUUCCACAAUGGGCGAAAGCCUGAUGGAGCAACGCCGCGUGGGUGAAGAAGGUCUUCGGAUCGUAAAACCCUGUUGUUAGAGAAGAAAGUGCGUGAGAGUAACUGUUCACGUUUCGACGGUAUCUAACCAGAAAGCCACGGCUAACUACGUGCCAGCAGCCGCGGGAAUACGUAGGGGGAAAGCGGUAUCCGGGAUUAUUGGG